GAUGAACGCUGGCGGCGUGCCUAAUACAUGCAAGUCGAGCGAACGGACGAGAAGCUUGCUUCUCUGAUGUUAGCGGCGGACGGGUGAGUAACACGUGGAUAACCUACCUAUAAGACUGGGAUAACUUCGGGAAACCGUAGCUAAUACCGGAUAAUAUUUUGAACCGCAUGGUUCAAAAGUGAAAGACGGUCUUGCUGUCACUUAUAGAUGGAUCCGCGCUGCAUUAGCUAGUUGGUAAGGUAACGGCUUACCAAGGCAACGAUGCAUAGCCGACCUGAGAGGGUGAUCGGCCACACUGGAACUGAGACACGGUCCAGACUCCUACGGGAGGCAGCAGUAGGGAAUCUUGCGCAAUGGGCGAAAGCCUGACGGAGCAACGCCGCGUGAGUGAUGAAGGUCUUCGGAUCGUAAAACUCUGUUAUUAGGGAAGAACAUAUGUGUAAGUAACUGUGCACAUCUUGACGGUACCUAAUGAGAAAGCCACGGCUAACUACGUG
Molecule: ribosomal RNA, 497 nt
Filed under: uncultured bacterium
Lineage: Bacteria
Description: partial 16S ribosomal RNA
Rfam family: Bacterial small subunit ribosomal RNA
Source: RNAcentral